AUGGCAUGCGGAGGCAGAGGACAUGGCGGCGGCCGGACCUCCCUGCCGGCGGAGCUUAUCCAGGAAGUAUCAGACCGUCUGCAGGCUGACGUAGACCAAAUCCACAUCCACCAGGUAUGCUCCCACUGGCGCGCGUCCACUGCCCCGCUCGUAGCCUGCCGUCUGUGGAUCGUCGCCGCCCACGACCGCCACCAUAACCCUAUUAGUGCCGUUAACCAUGUAUGCGACCACUCCUUCUGGCUGCUCGACGGUGGAAAAAGGAGGCACUCCCGGGCCCUAGCCCCGGCUGGGCUCCCCUACUGCCGCGGCACGCCCCGUGGCUGGCGCGCCCUAACGGACGACUUGCGAACCCCCACCAGGCUAAUCCUCUGGGAGCCCCUCUCCCAAGCUGAGAUUCCUCUGCCGCCUUUCACAACCAUCGCCCAAUUAUUCCUCUCCGGCGCCCCGCUCGCGUCGCUGGCGGCCUGGAUGUCGAUCACGAGCCAGAAAAUCCCGGGCGCACAGAUUGGGCACACGCUCUUCUUUUGGCGCCCUGGAGACGCAGCCUGGACGAUGCAGCCCGAGCACCCUAUAGGCCGGAUCGACGGCGCAGCCUUCCACCAAGGCAGGUUCUACAUGUCCAACAUGAUGAGCAUGAGGCUCGACAUCUUUGACCUCCAGCAGCAUCCUCCCAUGCGUCUGCGGUGUAUCUCCCUCUAUGCUCCUCUGCGAACGUGGUAUCCAAGCCGCCGCUUACCCGGGGAUCUGGUGCCACACGUGGUGGCAUGCAACAACCAGCUGUUGCUCGUUAUGGUGUAUCGUGGACAAGGACACCCCGGGCCCGUGAUCCUUGUAGAGGUGCACCAUCCGGAUUGGGCCGCUGAGCGCCUCGACUUCCGGGGGGGAGAAGAGGACUUCUCUACCAUUAGGAGAAAUUGUGUCUACUUUGUGGAGCAUGAUACAAGAAAGCAUGAGCAAUGGGUUAUUGUGUUUGAUUUGGGGUCGAACGCUUUGGAACAAAUUCCUCACCCGCAAGAGCACACGGAAGGCGGCAGCAAAUACAGUGGCUGGAUUCAGGCUUCCGAUAUUAGAAAUGGAACCCUUUCCUUCCAAUCAAUUGAGCCUCAACGAUGUUUGUCAUUCAGUUCUAAUGGUACUAGUUGCAAUAGCCCGUUAGAGUAUCCCGGUGCAGAUCUCCUGGUGCAUCCCUUGAACAACAAAACAUGCAAAAGGCUGGGAGAGGCUUGUCUUGAAGCAUCUGUGCAAUUCAGCCAGAGGACCAUAGAUGAUGAUUAG
Molecule: ribosomal RNA, 1275 nt
Filed under: Triticum aestivum (bread wheat)
Lineage: Eukaryota; Viridiplantae; Streptophyta; Magnoliopsida; Poales; Poaceae
Description: partial small subunit ribosomal RNA
Source: RNAcentral